Molecule: ribosomal RNA, 1206 nt
Filed under: metagenome
Description: bacterial SSU rRNA
Rfam family: Bacterial small subunit ribosomal RNA
Source: RNAcentral
AGCCUCCCGUAGGAGUCUGGGCAGUGUCUCAGACUCCUACGGGAGGCUGCAGUCGAGGAUCAUUCGCAAUGCGCGAAAGCGUGACGAUGCGACGCUGCGUGGAGGAUGAAGGCCCUUGGGUCGUAAACUCCUGUCAUUCGGGAAAAAUACUCUCAAGGGUAAUAUGCUUGGGAAUUGAUGGUACCGAAAGAGGAAGCCACGGCUAACUCUGUGCCAGCAGCCGCGGUAAUACAGAGGUGGCAAGCGUUGUUCGGAUUUACUGGGCGUAAAGGGUGCGUAGGUGGCAAUGUAUGUCGGAUGUGAAAUCCCACGGCUCAACCGUGGAACUGCAUUCGAAACUGCAUAGCUAGAGUGUAGGAGGGGAGAGCGGAAUUCUUGGUGUAGCGGUGAAAUGCGUUGAUAUCAAGAAGAACACCGGUGGCGAAGGCGGCUCUCUGGAAUACUACUGACACUGAUGCACGAAAGCUGGGGGAGCAAACAGGAUUAGAUACCCUGGUAGUCCCAGCCGUAAACGGUGUGAACUUGGUGUAGGGGGUAUUGACCCCCCCUGUGCCGGAGCUAACGCGUUAAGUUCACCGCCUGGGGAGUACGGCCGCAAGGCUAAAACUCAAAGAAAUUGACGGGGGCCCGCACAAGCGGAGGAGCAUGUGGCUUAAUUCGAUGCAACGCGAAGAACCUUACCAGGGCUUGACAUGGCGACCCUUCGGGGGUGGAAGUGAAAGCUUCCUUUACGAUCACAGGUGCUGCAUGGCUGUCGUCAGUUCGUGCCGUGAGGUGUUUGGUUAAGUCCAGCAACGAACGCAACCCCUGUGUUUAGUUGCCACUUCGACUUCGGUCGGAAGCACUCUAAACAGACUGCCCGUACAAGCGGGAGGAAGGUGGGGAUGACGUCAAGUCAGUAUGGCCCUUACGCCCUGGGCUGCACACGUGCUACAAUGGUCGGUACAAAGGGAUGCAAUAUCGCAAGGUGGAGCUAAUCCUCAAAGCCGGCCCCAGUUCGGAUUGGAGUCUGCAACUCGACUCCAUGAAGUUGGAUUCGCUAGUAACGGCGUAUCAGCUACGACGCCGUGAAUACGUUCCCGGGCCUUGUACACACCGCCCGUCACAUCAUGAAAGCCGUCUGCACCCGAAGUCGCUGAGCCAACCCGCAAGGGAGGCAGGUGCCGAAGGUGUGGGUGGUGAUUGGGAUGAAGUCGUAACAAGGUA